CCAAUAGCGUAUAUUAAAGUUGUUGCAGUUAAAAAGCUCGUAGUUGAAUUUCGGGAUUGACACAUCGGUCGUGCCUUAAGGGGUAUGAACUGGUGUAGUCAAUUUCUCACCUUCUGGAGAACCGCGAUGCCCUUAAUUGGGUGUCGCGGGGAACCAGGACCUUUACUUUGAAAAAAUUAGAGUGUUUAAAGCAGGCAUUUUGCUUGAAUACAUUAGCAUGGAAUAAUAAAAUAGGACGGCAUGAUUCUAUUUUGUUGGUUUCUAGGAUCACCGUAAUGAUUAAUAGGGUUAGUUGGGGGCAGUAGUAUUCAAUUGUCAGAGGUGAAAUUCUUGGAUUGAUUGAAGACUAACUACUGCGAAAGCAUUUGCCAAGGAUGUGUUCAUUAAUCAAGAACGAAAGUUAGGGGAUCGAAGACGAUCAGAUACCGUCGUAGUCUUAACCAUAAACUAUGCCGACUAGGAAUCAGACGAUGUUAAUUUUUUAAUGACUCGUUUGGCACCUUACG
Molecule: ribosomal RNA, 506 nt
Filed under: uncultured Entrophospora
Lineage: Eukaryota; Fungi; Glomeromycota; Glomeromycetes; Entrophosporales; Entrophosporaceae
Description: SSU rRNA
Rfam family: Eukaryotic small subunit ribosomal RNA
Source: RNAcentral